RNAcentral lists this ribosomal RNA (460 nucleotides) under uncultured bacterium. RNAcentral's name for it is "partial 16S ribosomal RNA". It matches the Rfam family "Bacterial small subunit ribosomal RNA", at positions 338 to 795 of the family's 1533-position model. The record is from RNAcentral.
CCUACGGGAGGCAGCAGUGAGGAAUAUUGGUCAAUGGACGAGAGUCUGAACCAGCCAAGUAGCGUGAAGGAUGACUGCCCUAUGGGUUGUAAACUUCUUUUAUAUGGGAAUAAAACGUUCCACGUGUGGGAUUUUGUAUGUACCAUAUGAAUAAGGAUCGGCUAACUCCGUGCCAGCAGCCGCGGUAAUACGGAGGAUCCGAGCGUUAUCCGGAUUUAUUGGGUUUAAAGGGAGCGUAGGUGGAUUGUUAAGUCAGUUGUGAAAGUUUGCGGCUCAACCGUAAAAUUGCAGUUGAAACUGGCAGUCUUGAGUACAGUAGAGGUGGGCGGAAUUCGUGGGGUAGCGGUGAAAUGCUUAGAUAUCACGAAGAACUCCGAUUGCGAAGGCAGUUCACUGGACUGCAACUGACACUGAGGCUCGAAAGUGUGGGUAUCAAACAGGAUUAGAUACCCUAGUAGUC